RNAcentral lists this transfer RNA (91 nucleotides) under Cordyceps javanica. RNAcentral's name for it is "Isaria javanica tRNA". It matches the Rfam family "tRNA". Rfam says of the family: Transfer RNA (tRNA) molecules are approximately 80 nucleotides in length. Their secondary structure includes four short double-helical elements and three loops (D, anti-codon, and T loops). Further hydrogen bonds mediate the characteristic L-shaped molecular structure. tRNAs have two regions of fundamental functional importance: the anti-codon, which is responsible for specific mRNA codon recognition, and the 3' end, to which the tRNAs corresponding amino acid is attached (by aminoacyl-tRNA synthetases). tRNAs cope with the degeneracy of the genetic code in two manners: having more than one tRNA (with a specific anti-codon) for a particular amino acid; and 'wobble' base-pairing, i.e. permitting non-standard base-pairing at the 3rd anti-codon position. Lineage: Eukaryota; Fungi; Ascomycota; Sordariomycetes; Hypocreales; Cordycipitaceae. The record is from Rfam by way of RNAcentral.
GCCUGGUUAGCUCAAUCGGUAGAGCGUGAGACUCUUAGUACAAGAGGAUUUCACCAUCUCAAGGCUGCGGGUUCGACCCCCGCAUCGGGCU